AGUGAACGCUGGCGGUAGGCCUAACACAUGCAAGUCGAACGGCAGCACAGUAAGAGCUUGCUCUUACGGGUGGCGAGUGGCGGACGGGUGAGGAAUACAUCGGAAUCUACUUUUUCGUGGGGGAUAACGUAGGGAAACUUACGCUAAUACCGCAUACGACCUACGGGUGAAAGCAGGGGAUCUUCGGACCUUGCGCGAUUGAAUGAGCCGAUGUCGGAUUAGCUAGUUGGCGGGGUAAAGGCCCACCAAGGCGACGAUCCGUAGCUGGUCUGAGAGGAUGAUCAGCCACACUGGAAGUGAGACACGGUCCAGACUCCUACGGGAGGCAGCAGUGGGGAAUAUUGGACAAUGGGCGCAAGCCUGAUCCAGCCAUACCGCGUGGGUCAAGAAGGCCUUCGGGUUGUAAAGCCCUGUUGUUGGGAAAGAAAAGCAGCAGGUUAAUACCCCGCUGUUCUGACGGUACCCAAAGAAUAAGCACCGGCUAACUUCGUG
RNAcentral lists this ribosomal RNA (492 nucleotides) under uncultured bacterium. RNAcentral describes it as "partial 16S ribosomal RNA". It matches the Rfam family "Bacterial small subunit ribosomal RNA", at positions 29 to 507 of the family's 1533-position model. The record is from RNAcentral.